This 252-nucleotide ribosomal RNA is filed under the name uncultured bacterium. RNAcentral describes it as "partial 16S ribosomal RNA". It matches the Rfam family "Bacterial small subunit ribosomal RNA", at positions 524 to 776 of the family's 1533-position model. The record is from RNAcentral.
UACGUAGGUGGCAAGCGUUGUCCGGAAUUAUUGGGCGUAAAGCGCGCGCAGGCGGUUUCUUAAGUCUGAUGUGAAAGCCCACGGCUUAACCGUGGAAGGUCAUUGGAAACUGGGAGACUUGAGUGCAGAAGAGAGAGCGGAAUUCCACGUGUAGCGGUGAAAUGCGUAGAGAUGUGGAGGAACACCAGUGGCGAAGGCGGCUCUUUGGUCUGUAACUGACGCUGAGGCGCGAAAGCGUGGGGAUCAAACAGG